AUUGAACGCUGGCGGCAUGCCUUACACAUGCAAGUCGAACGGUAACGCGGGGCAACCUGGCGACGAGUGGCGCACGGGUGAGUAAUGCAUCGGAACGUGCCCAGAAUUGGGGGAUAGCCCGGCGAAAGCCGGAUUAAUACCGCAUGAGACCUGAGGGUGAAAGCGGGGGAUCGCAAGACCUCGCGCUUUUGGAGCGGCCGAUGUCAGAUUAGCUAGUUGGUGGGGUAAAGGCCUACCAAGGCGACGAUCUGUAGCUGGUCUGAGAGGACGACCAGCCACACUGGGACUGAGACACGGCCCAGACUCCUACGGGAGGCAGCAGUGGGGAAUUUUGGACAAUGGGCGCAAGCCUGAUCCAGCCAUGCCGCGUGCGGGAAGAAGGCCUUCGGGUUGUAAACCGCUUUUGUCAGGGAAGAAACGCUCUGGGCUAAUACCCUGGGGUAAUGACGGUACCUGAAGAAUAAGCACCGGCUAACUACGUG
Molecule: ribosomal RNA, 482 nt
Filed under: uncultured bacterium
Lineage: Bacteria
Description: partial 16S ribosomal RNA
Rfam family: Bacterial small subunit ribosomal RNA
Source: RNAcentral